RNAcentral lists this ribosomal RNA (1346 nucleotides) under metagenome. Its description in RNAcentral is "bacterial LSU rRNA". It matches the Rfam family "Bacterial large subunit ribosomal RNA", at positions 1557 to 2925 of the family's 2925-position model. The record is from RNAcentral.
AAAGGUGUGACGCAUACCGAACUAAAGUAGGGAAAUGUGUGAGCCGGCUGCCGAGAAAAGCCGCUAUUGUUUGUACUGUACCCGUACCGUAAACCGACACAGGUGGAUGAGGAGAGAAUCCUAAGGCCGACGGAAGAAGCAUUGCUAAGGAACUCGGCAAAAUGACCCUGUAACUUCGGGAGAAAGGGUGCCUCGAAAGAGGCCGCAGAGAAUAGGCCCAAGCAACUGUUUAGCAAAAACACAGGUCUAUGCAAAACCGCAAGGUGAAGUAUAUGGGCUGACGCCUGCCCGGUGCUGGAAGGUUAAGGGGAGAUGUCAGGAGACGAAGCAUCGAACUUAAGCCCCAGUAAACGGCGGCCGUAACAAUAACGGUCCUAAGGUAGCGAAAUUCCUUGUCGGGUAAGUUCCGACCCGCACGAAAGGCGUAAUGAUUUGGGCGCUGUCUCGGCAAUGCAUCCGGUGAAAUUGAGGUGCCAGUGAAGAUGCUGGCUACCCGCGCCAGGACGGAAAGACCCCAUGGAGCUUUACUCCAGCUUGAUACUGGGAUUCGGUAUUGUAUGUACAGGAUAGGUGGGAGGCUGAGAAAUGGUGACGCCAGUCGCCAUGGAGCCGCUGUUGGGAUACCACCCUUGCAGUACUGGAUUUCUAACCAGCAGCCGUGAUCCGGCUGGGGGACAAUGUCAGGUGGGGAGUUUGACUGGGGCGGUCGCCUCCGAAAGGGUAUCGGAGGCGCUCAAAGGUUCCCUCAGAAUGGUCGGAAACCAUUCGAAGAGUGCAAAGGCAGAAGGGAGCUUGACUGCGACACCGACGGGUGGGGCAGGUACGAAAGUAGGACUUAGUGAUCCGGUGGUAUUAAGUGGGAAUGCCAUCGUUCAACGGAUAAAAGCUACCCUUGGGAUAACAGGCUUAUCACUCCCAAGAGUUCACAUCGACGGAGUGGUUUGGCACCUCGAUGUCGGCUCAUCGCAUCCUGGGGCUGUAGUAGGUCCCAAGGGUUGGGCUGUUCGCCCAUUAAAGCGGUACGCGAGCUGGGUUCAGAACGUCGUGAGACAGUUCGGUCCCUAUCCGGCGUGGGCGUAGGAUAUUUGAGAGGAGCUGACCUUAGUACGAGAGGACCGGGUUGGACUGACCUCUGGUGCACCGGUUGUCAUGCCAAUGGCACAGCCGGGUAGCCAAGUCGGGAAGGGAUAAACGCUGAAGGCAUCUAAGCGUGAAGCCCCCCUCAAGAUGAGAUAUCCCCCGCAUAAGCGGUAAGACCCCUUGAAGACGACGAGGUAGAUAGGGCAGAGGUGGAAGUGCAGUAAUGUAUGGAGCUGACUGCUACUAAUAGGUCGAAGGCUUAACAU